RNAcentral lists this long non-coding RNA (765 nucleotides) under Carica papaya (papaya). Its description in RNAcentral is "long non-coding RNA (CPAP_LNC005978)". The record is from RNAcentral. Lineage: Eukaryota; Viridiplantae; Streptophyta; Magnoliopsida; Brassicales; Caricaceae.
UUCUUGACGGUACAUUUCGGAUUUGUGUAUUAAGGAUUAAUUAAUUAGAUUGAUUUCACAUGUCUAAAUAAUUUACAAGUUUCUGCACUAAAGAUUUCAUUCCAAUAAUCAUGUCUCAUUAUAUAUAUAUAUACAUGUAUGUAUGUUGAUAUCAACCUUCUUGCAAUAUUCGAGAGUCUUAACAUAUUUAUAGCCAUGGAUAUUAUCGGGUAAGUAAUUUACAACUUAAUGUUAAUAUAUAGUUAACUUCGUAUGUUAAAUAAAAUAAUUAGCAAUCUAUAAUUAUCCAGAAAUUAAUUUGACUAAAAGUAAGGAUCUUAAACAUCAAACAAAGAAAAGUAAUUAACGGUAAAAUCCCUUCAUAUAUGCACUAAUUAUAUUAAAUAUGUGUAAUUUCUCCAUUUACAAACAUACAUAGAAAUAAAUAUUAUAUAUAUAUAUAUAAAAAAAAAAAAAAAGGAUCAGGACUUACGUACUCACUAGUAUUAAUUUCUACAAAUUAAUUAGCUAAAAAUUAACUAAGUUUAAUUUCGCUAAAAUCCCUUAAUCGAAAAAUAGAGGGAUUAAGGGUCCGACACUAAUAUACUUGUUCUUCUUUCUUUGCUUUCUUUUUCUUUUUCUUUUUUUUUUUUUUCUCUCCUCUCGAAUUAAUCCUAAUUAAUAACUAAUUAAUUAAUUAACAAGCUGCAGAAGAAUUGGUGAAGGGAUUAUAGAAGUUAGACUUAGGAGCCAUUGAGAAGGGGCUCUUGGAGUUGCCGUCGCUGG